This 170-nucleotide ribosomal RNA is filed under the name Spicara sp. CBM:ZF:14900. RNAcentral describes it as "partial 12S rRNA". The record is from RNAcentral. Lineage: Eukaryota; Metazoa; Chordata; Actinopteri; Spariformes; Centracanthidae.
CACCGCGGUUAUACGGGAGGCCCAAGUUGUUAGAAGUCGGCGUAAAGGGUGGUUAGGAAUAAACUUUAAAUUAAAGCCGAACACCCUCCGAGCUGUUAUACGUAUCCGAAGGUAAGAAGCCCAAUUACGAAAGUAGCUUUAUAUUCUCUGAAUCCACGAAAGCUAAGACA